This is a long non-coding RNA of Pangasianodon hypophthalmus (striped catfish), 4222 nucleotides long. RefSeq lists it as uncharacterized. Lineage: Eukaryota; Metazoa; Chordata; Actinopteri; Siluriformes; Pangasiidae. The record is from RefSeq and is a predicted model, not a curated record. The transcript has 5 exons.
GUGUUACAGGUUCCCAUUGGCUGCUGAGCACUAGGGUUAAACCAUUUCUGUAAGCCUGGGGGUUUCCUACCACUCACAGACUUGUUUUUUUAACAUCCUCUUAUUUCUUUGUCCUUUUCUUCCUUUUUUGUGCAGCCUAUAAAUAUACAAUAUUUGCACUGCAGUUUUAUGACUUCAAUUAUUUUCAUCAAGAUAGAAAUUGCGUCCUUUUGCUCCACUACUGCCUUUGUUUUGGUAAACAAACACGUUCUAGCUUUAACACCAUUCAUCAAACUUUAAUUUCCUAACAUCAAAAUAUUAACAAUUGUGUGGAGAAAAAGGCUACAGCAGUGGUAUUCUCUCAAUGCUGGUUUAGGAUACAGACACUUGUAAUGAAUAUCUAUCUUUGGAAAACGACAUGAGCUUGUUAUUUGAGCUUUUUAAUUUAAUUUAAUUUCGGGUUAUGGCCAGCAGGGGGCACAUUAUCACUAAUAAUGGCGCUGGUUAAACCCUAAACAGAGAUUAUACACUUAUCAGAUAUACAGUAAUUAGGUACACAGGUGAUUUGAUGGGAUUUACAGACUUCCAAGGACUUUCAGCAAAUUAGUGAAAACACUUUAUACCUUUUAAGUAAACACAAAGAUACAAAGAUACAAAUACAAUGUAGUUCCAACAGAAUCGCUCCUGACCGCUAGGGGGCACUGCACCGCGUUUCCACAGGCAGUGUGGAUUGUUCUUCUUCCACACAUUAAAAGAGACUGUCAGUGUAAGUAAAAUCAAGUAAGAGCAAAAUGUUUUUAAUUUUAGUGUUGCUAAUCACUUGAACACGAGUACAUUUGUCCCGUGAAUAUUACCAUAAAGUUAGUUAAGUAUACUGUCAGUUUUCGUUCUUCAUAAUUGGACUCAUUGGAGUCACUGGCUGUGUCCGAAUAACCUUCCAUACUUCCAUACUACGCAGUAUGUCAGAAUUCCGAAUAUUCAUAAACAGUAGGCGGGAAGUACCCGGAUGACCUACUGCUUCUACUGAGAUUCUGCAGUAUGGAAGUGCUAUCCCAUAAGGCACCGCGACAGGCGCGGAAAAGCUGUCACAAUCAAAAAUGGCGGAAGGCAGCCCAUCGGCUCUUUUGAAAUAUAAGUGCUAUAGGUAUUAAACCUUGUUCCUUGUUCCUUGUGGUUGAACCGUACUUGUUUAACAAUACAUCACUAAACUGUUAACUUGUUGAAGGUUUAUACAAGAAAAAAAAAAAACAGUUGCUCUAAUCUGACGGGCUCUGUAAGGUUAGGUUACCAUGACGUCGUAGGUCACAUGACAAUGCCAAUAUGGCGGAUUGUAUUUAUACUACAUACACAUAUCCUGAUCAUUCAAUAAGUUUAGAUUUGAUUGAACAUUGUGUUUGAAGCAGGAAAAACAGGGAGAAGUACAUUGGAUUCCUUCAUGAAAUUCAGGGCUUUGAAGGAGAAGGAGAGGAAAACAUUAACCUCAAACCAUUUGCUGUUUUGCAGAAAGUGGUCUUAUCAUUUGACACUGAUGAAAGUGUAAUUGAUCAUAAUAAGUAGUUGUUUUUUUUUUUGUAAAUGUAGUCAUAAUCCUUAAAUUAAAGGCUUGUUUGUAUCAUUAGUACCUCUAGCUUCCAUGAGUUUCUUCUGGAAUUCAGUGCAGUUGCUCUGUUUGGCCUAGACAUCUACUGAAUUGAGAGAGAAAAGAAAUCAACCAGUUUCAAAAACAUGAUUAUCAUUAAACUAUCGGUUUUAUUUUCAUUAACAAAAUAGUUUUUAUAAAUAUUCACGUAUAACAUCUAACGACAGCGUCUUUUCUCCUCCAUUUUAUGGGGUUGCACAAAAUGUUGUAAAAGUUACAUUCACAUUUCCAUACAGAGUCACACACCCCAAGUUAACUAAGUAUACUUUAAUUUUCAGUUUGUGACAAUUUACAUUUAUUUACUCUUUUCACGUGUAGAUUUAUGUUGGAAUUAUGUGGAGAAAUAAUUGUGUUAAAGGCUGUGAGAGUGAAGACCAUGCCUCUUGAUGUUCAGUCUAUUCGGUCAUCUGAGCAACUAUUAAUAGCUGCUGUAAAGAAAGUAAAAGAUUUUAAUCAACACGUGGAAGAUGGCCGCUUUGUUUUGCUGUACCCAGAUGGUGCAGAGGUGAAACGCAUUUCAGGAACAAACACCCCUUUCAGAAUAAAGCUGUACAAAGAGGCAACUGGGAAGGCUUAUCAAAGAAUAACACUGUUCAUAUGCACAGUUCAAGACUUUUCAGCCAGUGGUGAGCAAAUUUCAUUUUAAAUAAAUCUCACAAAGAUAUACAUAGAACACAUGGGUUGAAAUCAAAGUGAAUUUUCCUUAGGUAUAUAAUUGCCGCUGCUAUUGUUGUUGUUUGAAGAUGGUAGUGGGAAUUCUUCUAGCAAAGACUCUGAAGUGUAAAAUCUACCUCUAACAGUCCACAUUAUGAGAGUGACACUUUGGUGGGUGCAUUUAAUUGCAUGUCUCCUAACAUAAAUAUAACAUUUAAUUCUAACUCAUUCUAACAUGUUGGUUGUGUUUUGUAUACAGGUAUGGGAUGGUCCAGGUGAACUAAGCACACCAAAAGCAGAAAGCACAUCAGACAGGCAUUAUUAUAGCAUAGUUAAAAAAAGAAAUCAUACAAUAUAUACACAAUUCUGAUGUUCAAACUGUUUUUUUUUUCAGACCCCCUAAUUCAAUUCAAUUUUAUUCGUAUAGCACUUUUAACAAUGGACAUUGUCACAAAGCAGCUUUACAGAAAUAAAUGGAUUCACAAAAAUAUAUUGUAAACAUGUGAAUUUAUCCCUAAUGAGCGAGCCAGAGGCAAUGGUGGCAAGGAAAAACUCCCUGAGACAAUAUGAGGAAGAAACCUUGAGAGGAACCAGGCUCAAAAGGGAACCCAUCCUCAUCUGGGUGCAACGGAUAGUGCGAUUAUAAAUAAAUCCCUCCCUAUUAUUGUGUACUAUAUGGACAAAUAGUGCAAUUGUGCAACCAGUAAAUUCAUCACAGUUUUUGCAAGAAGUCCCUCUUCUUCUGAGUAAUCUCUCUCAGCCUUUUUUGGAAGUUCAUAAGUUAUGUUCAUACCUUGCAAAGGUAGUGUGUUACCACAAAAGAAAAAUGUAUUCUGUCCCUUAUUUAAGUUCAUUUACUAAGUGCAAUCAAAGUUUGCUAUGUUUCAUUUCUUCAGUAAGUGGAAGUUAACAGUGCAGUGUCAACAAUUGUUAUAUUUCUGACAAAACUAGGAAAAAGGAAAAACCAGAACAAAUAUGCAAAAACACACACAGGGCCAAUGAAAGUGCUACAUGUAAGCUUGUUGUCUGUCCAGUGUUUCCGAGAAGAAAUUACAAUUGCUUUACAAGCAGCCUACAAUUAUUUUCUGAGUCAAUGGAUGUAAAUUCCUGUUAAUCUUUUUCUUUUCACAGCAAUUACACACGUCUGUAUGAACCAAGAGUAAUCAAAAGUGACACAGAAGAGUCACACGAGAGCAGACAACAUGUUCAAGAGGAAAGCACAGAUGUAUUAACUGCUGCAGACAUUGUGUCAGAACUCUCACUGAAGAUCAUAAGAUCAUAAAUCGAGCUAAUGUUUGGGAUCGAGCAGUUCCUGGUUUUAAACGUGCCUCAUAUGACUUAUUACAUGACAUGCUUGUCAGAUUCACAGAUGACGAAGGAACAACUGAAGAGGCAGUGGACACGAGUGGUCCCAAACAAAAACAAUCCAUGCUGCGGAUCAUCGCAGUUUCUAUUGUUCAUGGUGGUCCAGAGAUGCUAUACAAUCACCUCACUGGGAGGAUUCACUUUGAUGGAACAGUUGAAGAUGUAACAGAUGAGACCAGGAAGGCAGCGUUGCUUGAACCCAGAUAUCCACUGCAGCAUCACUGGAUGAACUACACAUGGUCAUUGAUAAGUAUGCCAGUUUGCUGCAGACUGCUGGAUGUUUUGAGUACACACAAAGUGUAGAAGGCAGAGAGAACAUUGUGAAGGAUUUCAUACAGUGGUACAUAAUAUACAGAAAUCAGUACUCAAUACAGGGAUUUAGGGAUAGGCUUUCCACACUGGAUGUCAUCCAUUCCCUGGAACAGCAUCCAAUUGUAUUCAGACCCUAUAUGUGCUAUGGUGUUGAGAAACUAACACCUGAAUCAUUGGAGGCUCUCUUUAAGGCUCAGCUCAGUGAAGUAGGUAGCACCAGACGACAAGAAGAAAUCAGAAUACUUGGAUACUGGAGAGACUAUCUGCUUGACA